AUGGGAGGCAUCAGAGAAGAAGAUCACCACCAUCACCAACCCUCGGAGCUCCCCCUGGGCUUCCGGAGCGCCCCGCCACCGCCGAUGAUCGCCUCUUCCUCCAUGAGCAAGGAGUCGACGAGCUACGACAUGGCAGAUUUCGAUCAAACGGCAAUAUUUCUCUACCUAGAUGGUCAUGACCCACAGUCGAUUCAGGAACAACGACAAACUCUGAACAUCUUCCCCUCGCAGCCCAUGCAUGCCGCCGAGCCGCUUAACCCUGCCGCAAAGAUUAAUGGCGGCGCAGUCAUGGCGGCCAUGCUUGCUAAUGGCGGUAACCCGCAGCAGGCGUCUCCAAAGAGGCCUGAACAGCAGCAGCUGGUGCUGCAAGGUGCCGCCGGCGGCCCCAAUGCAACACCCUUGCUGACUGGUUCAGCCAAGGACAACAAGAACAGUGCCAGUCUCAUCAAGAAGGAAGGAACCAGCAGUGGGAAGGGUGCAACAUCAUCUAGCACAGACCCAGAUAGGGAAGGGAGCAGGAGAACACAGGACCCUAAGACACUGAGGAGGCUUGCACAGAAUAGAGAGGCAGCCAGGAAAAGUAGGCUCAGGAAGAAGGCUUACAUCCAACAGUUGGAGACAAGUAGGAUUAGGCUAAGCCAGAUCGAACAACAGGUUCAAGCAGGAAGAGUACAGGGUGUCUUGUUGGGUGCUGGAGAUCACCACCAAGGCCUUCCUUCUGCCCCUUCAUUUGCUGGUAUGUUUGAUGUGGAGUAUGGGAGAUGGGUGGAAGAGCACAGCAAGCUGAUCUUCCAGCUCAGGGCAUUGUUGAACGACAAUGCGCCGGACAACCAGGUGCAGGUGUUGGUCGGUGGUGCCAUGGCACAUCAUGAAGAGUUGCUAAACCUCAAGGCCGCGAUUGCCAGGACUGACAUUUUCCAUCUCUUAUGCGGUGUGUGGGCUAGCCCCGCAGAGCGUUGCUUCCUUUGGUUGGGUGGGUUUCGGCCCACAGAGUUCAUCAAGGUAAUGUUGAAGCAAGUGGAGUCGCUGUCAGAGGGGCAGCUCCUGGGAAUCUACAACCUCCAGCGGUGGGUGCAGGAGACGGAGGAGUCGCUGAACCACACCAUGGGGACCCUCCAGCACUCCCUCUCCGACACCAUCGCCUCCCCGGAGGCCGCCGGCGGCAACUUCAUGGGCCACAUGUCCCUCGCCCUCAACAAGAUCUCCUCCAUGGAAGCCAUCGUCAGGCAGGCAGAUGGGCUGAGGCAGCAGACCCUGCACAAGCUGCACGGCAUGCUGACGGUCCGACAGACCGGCUGCUGCUUCGUCGCCAUCGCCGACUACUUCCACCGCCUCCGCGCCGUCAGCACCCUCUGGGCUGCCAGGCCACGGCACGACGAGCAGGGCCCGCCGGCGCCGUAG
RNAcentral lists this ribosomal RNA (1401 nucleotides) under Triticum aestivum (bread wheat). RNAcentral describes it as "partial small subunit ribosomal RNA". The record is from RNAcentral. Lineage: Eukaryota; Viridiplantae; Streptophyta; Magnoliopsida; Poales; Poaceae.